This 5889-nucleotide long non-coding RNA is filed under the name Physcomitrium patens. Its description in RNAcentral is "long non-coding RNA (PPAT_LNC006149)". The record is from RNAcentral. Lineage: Eukaryota; Viridiplantae; Streptophyta; Bryopsida; Funariales; Funariaceae.
UAUAGGAGUUGAAGAAGUUAAUUAAGGUGCCAUUACUGUGAUAGUUGUGAGCCGGGAUAAGCUUGGUGGUACCUCUUUUCUUUUGUUUGUUAUUUUUUUUGAAUAAGAGGAUUGAGAGUUUUUGAAUAUUGAGAAGUGAAUUAUGGAAUGAAAAUGUGAUUGGUAUUAUUUGAGAAGAAGAAAGAUUGAAUGCUGAAAUCUGAUUGUAGUUCAGCAGAGAGAAUGAGUCUGUGUUUGUGUAAAAUACCAUAAUGUGAAUGGCAGUUCUAUGUGAAGAAUUCCAGUGAUUGGAAUGAGGGUAAUUGUGUGUUGAAAGCUGUGAGGGCGCAAUAUUACAAUUGGAGAUUAUGAGGGUGAAUAUAUUGGUAGAAAUAGCAGUCAUUGGCAUAACUGAAUUGCUGUAAGGAAGAGACCGAUAAGGUGAAGGAGGAGAUUAUAGUUUCCUUGUGUAUUCAGAUAUUAGAAAUAGAGACGAUACAUUCAGGAGGUAAUUGAUUGUAUGACCCUAACAUGAAUGCUUAAGCAACUAGUCAUUCUCUGUGUUUGAAUCCCCUUAUACGGAUUUAUUUCUAUUAGAUUAAUUUGGAAUAAGUAAAAUGAGCAAUUACAUUUUGGAGCCACUGCUGGGGAGUGAUAAUAGCUUUGAGUGUUAGGAAUUAAUUGUCAAACGUGUGAAAAAAUUGAUAAUGGAAGAUGAUUUUAGUAGUAUUUGAAGAAAGAGUAUGGUUAUUAGGAAUGAGAAUUUAAUAGCAAAGAAAAUAAAGCAAUCAAAGGAAAGAAUAGAAAGAUCGCAAGCAAGAAAUUUGUUGCGUAAUGAGCGAGAUCAUAAAUUAAAAAAGAAGCAUUAACAAAGUUGGAUUAAGCCAUGGUUGCAUGCUUGUCGGCAUAUUCGAUCAUACCUAGAAGACGAUCGAUCUCUAAUAUUUCAGAAGUACAUACCGUUCAAAAAAUUACCAAGAGCACUCAUGGGGAGCGUUGCUAAUAGUCAAGCAUACCUCUCAAAGUCGUUAACAGAAAGUGAGGAAGAUAUAGAGGAAAUAGAUACUCCAUUGGGUAUUUUCUCAAUUAGAGAUAUGUCCAAUUCUAACAAGACUAAUUCUGAAGAUCGAUAUAAAUCACUUGCCAAUAAAGACCAAUUCAAAGUAUAUCAAAACCUAUCAUUUUCACCUCAUAUUCAACCAGUAAAAUUAUUUGGAAAUAAUAAUAGUCAAUCGAGAAGGCCUGGAAGUCCGAAAAAGACUUUUGCAGGAGACAAUUUUUAUUUUAAUAAGGAAUUAAGCAGAACAUUGGCAUCUUUAAUGGCGUCUGGAGGACCAGCAGUUCCGAUUGCAAUUCAAAUGGGUGCAGUGAGCGAUCAUAUGACUAGUGUCACGUCACUACCUACUUUUCAGGGAUUUCUAGGUGCAGAUCUUGAUCAACAUUUGUCUCAAUUCUUGAUGGCGUGUGUAGCCAAUAAUGGCAGAACUGAAGAUAUUUGGUUCAGAUGGCUGCCAGUGACAUUGAAAGACAGAGCAUUUGAGUGGUAUAACCGCCAACCUGUGGGACAAUUUAUCAAUUGGGAGGUAUUGAAAAAUGCAUUUUUAGUCCAUUUUCGACCAAUUGGUUUUGAAGAACGUCUUAGAGAAAAAUUAAUGAAUAGCAGAAUGGUACUAGAGAAAGCGGUACAAUCAUAUUAUGGUCGCAUAGCAGUUAUACUUCAAAAAUAGCCAAAUAACCAAAUGCCGAAAUCAUUUGUGUUGUCCAUAUUGGUUAAUGGACUACACCUACCAGAAUUGAAGAUGUUUAUAAAGGAGGCCCAAUCAGCCACCAUUGCAUCAUCUCUUGAGCGAGCAAAAGUAUGGAAGGAAUGUCACUAUGAGUAGAACUUAACAAUUGGAGCCACAAUGAUUCUAUCUCAAAGAGGUUAUCAAAUGACAAAUUGGAAUGAUGUAUCAAAAGGUUAUCUGAGAAGGAAUGAUUAUGGUACAAUUCCACAGGGAAUUAUAGAUGUCGUUCCAUUGUAGGCUGUAUCACCAUCAUCAUCACAUCCGUAUGCACCUUAUUUCGCGUAUCAAAAACCAAUACCUACAAAGGAAUUGCCAAAUGCAUUAGUAUCAAGGGAUCCCAAUGAGUCAUUGCUGUUAACAUUGACAAAAAAAAUGAAUGAAUUGGCUGUGAAUCUGGCCAAAGAUAAAGAAAAAAGAUAUAAACCAACCAAUAUGCGUCCCAAUGUCUAGUACAACAAUUGUAAGGGGCAAGGUCAAUUAGUAACAGAAUGUCCUUCACCACCCCAAAUGACUGUACAAUGUACCUUUUGUGGGGACAAGCAUAUUACCACCAACUGUUGGAAUUUAUAGAAGCAACAACUCAAUAAUCAGAUAAUGACUCAACCAACUUUGUGGGAUGUCAAUCAAGUACAAAUGAAUAAUAGAUUUGAUUGGAAUGGAAAUCAAACGAAUAAAAAAAAUAGGAAUUAUUCCAAUUUUUUAAACUCUAAAUUUCACCAAGAAGGUAUAUUCAAUAUUCACGGAUUGGCGAUGAACCAACCAAGAUACCAUCAAUAUCUAUCCAUGACGAAGCCAAUGCCAGAGUCUACAGUAACAAUGGACCAAUCAGGAUCCUUUAUUCAUCCAAUAUGGAACAGACCUAGCCGUUAUAUACCAGUAGAGACACCCAAUAUCCCUGAAUGAGCUAGCAGGAGACCACUUUGUUGCUAUCAUUGCAGACAAAUCGGACAUUAUGCGAGUGAAUGUCCUAAUCCAAGGGCCAAUGAUGACUAUGCUCCAAUAUGUAGAAAUUGUAAGUAGCCAGGUCAUACUUAUCAGAAGUACAAUGCACCCUUUAAUUAUAAUAACCAGGACUAACAAAUGUAAAUAAGCCAACCGGCGGAGGACAAAGGCCCUGUUCAAUGAGACUCACGAGUAUAUCGUGUUGAGGUAGUAAACAUAGUGCUUAACAGAGGCCAACAAAAAGACAAGAAUCCAAUUCAAGACUUGGAUGAACCAAUCGCAGGAGAGCAAGUAGCGCCGUCCAUGGGACUAAAUGAACUAAUAUCAAUAUUGGAACGUAUCCCAAUAUUGAGACCUCAACAGACUGAGGAAUCCAAUUCGAUUCUACAUGCCAAUUUACCAGGACCAUUAAGAACGAUCCCAAUUGACCAACUACCAAUACUUGUACAAUCCAAUAAAAGAUCUUAUGCAUUAAAGGAACCUUUAGUGGUAGAAAAGUUGGCGAAGUUAUCAGCAGCAAUCCCAAUUGCCAGGAAGGAAUUACUGCCAAACAGAGUAAAAUUGAAACCAAUGAAAUAUAAAAAAGCAUUGGAAAUUAUUCUCAAUAUGGAAUCCUACGACAUUCUGAAGGAUUUGGAUGUUAUUCAGCCUUCAAUUACAAUGAAGCAACUUUUGGCUGUAGCACCAAAAUAUCGAUCUACAUUGAAUUCAGCACUAAUACAACAAAGAUCUCGUACUAAAGAAAUUCAUGAAGUUAGCUUAAAUCCAGAUCCAGGAGCACCAACAAUCAAUGUAUCAAUCGAUGGCGUUUUAAUUCCAAGGAUACAAGUUGAUGGUAGCUCCAGUGUGAAUUUAAUGAAUGCGGAUAUAAUGGAGGACUUGGAUCUAAAGCAAUUGCUACCUACAACAUUGGUCUUGUAAAUGGCAGAUCAUAGUUGGGUAAAGCCAAUCGGAAUCUUAUGAAAUAUUGCCACUGUAGUCACGAGAUUGACAUACCAUAUUGAUUAUAUUGUAUUCCGAUUACAGAGUUUCACAUUAUCAUAUCCCAUUUUAUUGGACAGACCUUGGCUUUAUCAAGCCAAAACUAAAAACGAUUGGGGCCGAGGCACAUUGACAAUUAGAAAAGGCCGUGACCAGAUUGAUCUAUAGAUGUAUCCGGUAUAAUAUCAUGAAAAAUCUCAAUUGCUAGAAUCAGAAUUUAUAUCAGAUAAUAAGAGUUAAUCGAUUGAGGAAGAUAUCGAUGCUAUAGGUUCACAGCAAUUUGGGGUAGGACAAAAUACUUCAACAGUUAAGGUAGGAGUCUACCAAUGUCGAGGUCUCAGCGAAUGUUUAUUGCAUCAGGAAGAUGCGACUAACUCGGAUCAUGCUAUUGCCAAAUGGAUGAACAAUUCUACAGUCAAUAGAAUCAGCACAUUGGAACCAAAUUUGGAUAGUUCCUAUAUGUCGAAUAAUAUAAGAUAUUUAGAUCAAGAAAAGAUAAUUAAAUCAGAGGUUGUUGAAGACCCUGUAUGUCAAUCCAUUAACUUGGGCACCAACGAAAUGCCACAGUUAAUUAAAAUAUAUGUUGGUAUUAUAGGUACAGAAUUAGAUGCUUGAAAACAGUUUUUUGUCCAUCACAAAUCUGCCUUUGCGUGGUCGUAUGCGGAUUUGAAAGGGAUUCUAGUUGACGUGUAUGAGCACCAGAUUAUUUUGAAGGAGAGUGUUACGCCAGUUCGUCAAAGACAAUACUAGCUUAACUCAAAAUAUUUUCUUUUAGUGAAAGAGGAAUUGGAUAAACUUCUCGACGUGGAUUUUAUUUAUCCUAUUCCGCAUAGUACAUGGAAGUCGCCAAUUGUGAUGGUGUCGAAGAAGAAUGGAAAAAUCAGGAUAUGUCAAGAUUUUUUAAAGUUAAAUGUGGCCACCAAGAAAGAUUACUUCCCAUUACCUUUCACGGACACUAUGGGUAACAUGUUGUCAUUAUCACCAAGUAGUAAAAGAAUAGGAGUGGGGCAUCAGUUAAAGUCAUUUUGUGGUAUUGUUUAGGAUUCACUAGAGUGCCAUUUUCUUAUAUUUCUUGUAUUUUCAAGAGUAGUAGUUCCAGUUAAGAGUUAACAAUGAGGAGCCGGUCACAAGUAUUGAUUGAAGAUAUUCUAGAAUGGAUGAGUCAGCAACAACAACAAUUGGAACUUCGGGAUGCCCAGAUCCUGAAAUUGGAAGCUCAAGUCCAUGAACUGGGAGAGUAUAAUGAAGACCUUUCAGCUCAGUUGAGGCAGGAGCCGAUGGAAGGAUUGGAGGAGGACGAAGAUUUGCAGUUGGAACUAGAAUCGGUGGAACCAAUAACAGAUAUUGCGGCAAUUGAUUAAUUAGAUAGGCCAGAGGGAUCGUAGUUUUUGUAGAAUUUUGUUAAAUAAUUUUUAGAUAGGUAUCAAUUGAGUGUUUGCGAGGAUGCUGCACAUAUAGGAGAAGGACUAUGUAGAAUAGAUAUUAAUUCGUUUUUGAAAGAUAUUGGUAAAAUAUAUUAAUAGUUCAUAUAAUAGGAAAUUCAGGAGAAUGGAUGAGUGAUUUAGUUCUUAAAAGUGGUUAUUUACAGAAUUACGAUUAGAAUCUAGAGAAUCAGGGAAAAGUAUAUAGGAGUUGAAGAAGUUAAUUAAGGUACCAUUGUUGUGAUAGUUGUGAGCCGGGGUAAGGUUGGUGCUACCUCUUUUCUUUUGUUUGUUAUUUUUUUUGAAUAAGAGGAUUGAGAUUUUCUGAAUAUUGAGAAGUGAAUUAUGGAAUGGAAAUGUGAUUGGUAUUAUUUGAGAAGAAGAAAGAUUGAAUGCUGAAAUCUGAUUGUAGUUCAGCAGAGAGAAUGAGUCUGUGUUUGUGUAAAAUACCAUAAUGUGAAUGGCAGUUCUAUGUGAAGAAUUCCAGUGAUUGGAAUGAGGGUAAUUGUGUGUUGAAAGCUAUGAGGGCGCAAUAUUACAAUUGGAGAUUAUGAGGGUGAAUAUAUUGGUAGAAAUAGCAGUCAUUGGUAUAACUGAAUUGCUGUAAGGAAGAGACCGAUAAGGUGAAAGAGGAGAUUAUAGUUUCCUUGUGUGUUCAGAUAUUAGAAAUAGAGACGAUACAUUCAGGAGGUAAUUGAUUGUAUGACCCUAACGUGAAUGCUUAAGCAACUAGUCAUUCUCCAUGUUCGAAUCCUCCUACACGAGUUUAUUCCCAUUAG